RNAcentral lists this ribosomal RNA (465 nucleotides) under Vreelandella stevensii. RNAcentral's name for it is "partial 16S ribosomal RNA". It matches the Rfam family "Bacterial small subunit ribosomal RNA", at positions 338 to 795 of the family's 1533-position model. The record is from RNAcentral. Lineage: Bacteria; Pseudomonadati; Pseudomonadota; Gammaproteobacteria; Oceanospirillales; Halomonadaceae.
CCUACGGGGGGCUGCAGUGGGGAAUAUUGGACAAUGGGGGGAACCCUGAUCCAGCCAUGCCGCGUGUGUGAAGAAGGCCCUCGGGUUGUAAAGCACUUUCAGUGAGGAAGAACGCCUGGUGGUUAAUACCCAUCAGGAAAGACAUCACUCACAGAAGAAGCACCGGCUAACUCCGUGCCAGCAGCCGCGGUAAUACGGAGGGUGCGAGCGUUAAUCGGAAUUACUGGGCGUAAAGCGCGCGUAGGUGGCUUGAUAAGCCGGUUGUGAAAGCCCCGGGCUCAACCUGGGGACGGCAUCCGGAACUGUCAAGCUAGAGUGCAGGAGAGGAAGGUAGAAUUCCCGGUGUAGCGGUGAAAUGCGUAGAGAUCGGGAGGAAUACCAGUGGCGAAGGCGGCCUUCUGGACUGACACUGACACUGAGGUGCGAAAGCGUGGGUAGCAAACAGGAUUAGAUACCCGUGUAGUC